Schistosoma margrebowiei is the source of this 46-nucleotide non-coding RNA. NCBI's taxonomy places the organism in Eukaryota, Metazoa, Platyhelminthes, Trematoda, Strigeidida, Schistosomatidae. The record is from Rfam.
GCGUUGCUGAGGAGUCCCAUACUAGGACGAAACGGCCGUUCAUUGC